GGUCCUGAAGACGGGGAUUGAGGUUGGAAUGCUCAGCUGGACCGUGGCAUGGCCAUGGAGGACUCAGUGCCAAACCCCUCUGCAUCCAAGCUGCCUCUCCGGUGUCAUAAAUCCAAAUGUGAUUAGCGUGGAUUUGGAAAAGGCUGAUUAAAGGUUCCCAGAGCUCCCCCUUCCCUCUGUCACCCCCCCGGGGCUCCCCCUUCCUGCUGUGCCACUGCUCCCAGGGCUCCUCGUGCCCCUGAGUCAUCUCCAAACUCCAGCUGGAUCCAGGAGCACAGCCCUGCCCUAAGCUGACCGUGAGGGAAGUUGUUUUCCCAAAAUACAGCAGCUCCAAAUCACAGGGAACAGAAAUGCAGUGGGAAAACCCAAAGUGGGGACAGCAGCAGGGUGACAGCCACCCCCGUGCUGCAGGAGAGAGGGAAAAGGUACCUGAGCUGGGGGGGAGAGGGCUUGGAGUGGGGUGAGCGUCUCCAGAGCUGUUCCCUGGGGAAUGGGUAUGGUUUCCAUCCCUCAUGUGCAGCCAGAGCCUUUCCUAGGGGAUUUGCUGGGAGGUCACGGCUUCUUUUAGGUGGGAAUGGGAGUAAAACCUGGGGCUUUCCAGGCUGGAAGAAUAUCCAAGGUGACUGAGAGCUUAGAGGUGCAUUCCCUGUGAGAAAGAGCCUCCCACUCCCAUUCUGGGAUAUCUCAUCCCCUUCCCAAGCUCCUCAGCCAACAGUCCCCAUGGAUUUGGCUCCAGGCCCUGGGAAACGAGACCUUUCCCAGCAAAAGCUCUUUCUGGUGAGAAAAACUCCCUGAUCCUUUCCCGAUGGGGGAAGUGGGAGAGCCCCUGGGCCAUGGGAAAAUCUCCUUCCCCACAUCCUGGUGGGAGGGAUGGAGCCAUAAAAACCCUCGGCACAUCCCGGGCUGGGAGCUGCGGCGGGGAGAGGCCAGGGAAUCAGCAGAAACAUGGCUGUCCUGCUAGGAUUAAGACUGGAAAGGGGGAUCUUGUCCCCUUCCCAAUUAUUUAAUGGUGGGAAACAAGUGCAGUCAGCACUUUGGAAUUUUUCCACCCACUCCCAUGAAAACAUACCCAGCUCUGGAUGUUCCCUCUUCCCAUCUCAGAUGCUCCAGAGGAUGUGGGGAAGGAGCCAUGGAUCCGGUCAGGAAUGCCAGGGCACUUGGGAAAAGUGGAGCAGGUGGAGAUGAUGUGGAAAAAGCACGAUCAUAGCAGCCUGACCCCGGUUUUGUGGGAAAACCAACCCUGGGAGCAGCGAGGAAGCUCUGCAGGAGUUAUUUGGGAGCCAAAGAGGAUGGAUAAGGAUCCAGCAGCCAGCAUUCCAUCACCAACACUGCUCCUGGCCCCUCUUCCCACAGCCAAGCCCGAGAGGAUGGAGCAGAAUCCACAAGCAGGGACAUGCAGCCCCUGGGAACCAGCGAGCUCAUCUUGCUUCACCCCCUGGGCUGGGCUGCCUUGGGCUUGGGAUUGGGCUUCUCUGGGGCAUUACUGCAUCGACUUGGGUUGCAACACCCCAAGGUGAGCGAGUUCAUGGACUCAUAAAAACUCCUUCAAAGCAGUCUUUGCAAGAGAAGUAAGUUCUAGGACCAAGUCUCUGCAGCAGCUGGGAUUUGGGAGCUGGGCGGGGAAUCCCACUGAAUGCUUCCCUAAAAGCGAUGGCGCCUGGCAGUGCAUCCCCCAAAACCCCCAAACUUUCCCUGCCACUUCCUUUCUAAAAGCUUCCUCGUCACCACCAGGUCCAGGCCCAACCCAACACCUCUGCCCCAAAACCCUUGUGCAAACCUGGUACCCUAAGGCUUCCAGCCCCGAUUUCAAGGUCAUUUUCAACCGAUUUAAAGGUUAUUUUUCAUUGAUUUGAGGCCGCCGCCGCUGAUUUGCCUGGUCCAGGCCACCCCCCGCCCGCGCAGCCUUUUCUCGUCUGAGUGAGCGAAAUGCUCACCGCAGAGAGAGUUUCCAGAAAUGAUUCAGCCUUUCCCUUUGAGAGAAACGGGAGGUGAGGAGGGGAAAGUUACCCUGCGUGGACAAUAGGAGGCAUUGAACUCGUCCCCGAUGCGCCGCAGCUCCUGCGCGAUCCAGAUCUCCGGCUGCACCUCUUCAGCUGGAGAGUGGGAUUGCCACCGGGAAGCUGUGGGGGAUGGAACAGGAGAGUUGGAAACCCAGGAAGAAGAACUAAUUGUACAGAAUUUACUACAUAAAACUCUCCAGUAACCCAUCA
This is a long non-coding RNA of Haemorhous mexicanus (house finch), 2210 nucleotides long. RefSeq lists it as uncharacterized. The transcript is spliced from 3 exons. The record is from RefSeq and is a predicted model, not a curated record. NCBI's taxonomy places the organism in Eukaryota, Metazoa, Chordata, Aves, Passeriformes, Fringillidae.